Molecule: transfer RNA, 84 nt
Filed under: Felis catus (domestic cat)
Lineage: Eukaryota; Metazoa; Chordata; Mammalia; Carnivora; Felidae
Also listed under: 2 other names
Rfam family: tRNA
About the family: Transfer RNA (tRNA) molecules are approximately 80 nucleotides in length.
Source: Rfam by way of RNAcentral
GCCUGGGUGGCUCAGUCAAUUAAGCAUCUGACUUCUGCUCAGAUCAUGAUCUCGCAUUCAUGGGUUCGAGCCCCACAUCGGGCU